Molecule: long non-coding RNA, 747 nt
Filed under: Pan troglodytes (chimpanzee)
Lineage: Eukaryota; Metazoa; Chordata; Mammalia; Primates; Hominidae
Description: lincRNA
Source: RNAcentral
GGUAUUCAGUGACAUCUUUCUAAAUUGUUUAAAAUGAGAAGCAUUGCACACUGAGAGUCAGGAUCCAAGUGUCUUUGACUGAGCCAACUCAGCUCUGCUAUUAACUUAUGGUGUGAUCGCAGGCUGUCUAGAAAAGGACACCAACAAUCACCCAUGAAGAUUGCCCUUCAACCUUUGGGAGGAAAUGAUCGAAAUGGGAGCUAGAGAAGAUUAUUGUUGGAAUCUCAGAGAUUAUAAGCAAUUUCUCCAUGGCUGGAAUUCAGUUGAUCUGGGACUGAACCUAUUUCUAAUGGAGCUGUGACGAGAGACCACAGUAAAUCCAAGCUUGGAAAAUGAGCUGUGUCAGCCCUCCGAAAGACAACCUCCUUUGCAACAGGAAGUUGUCAAAGCCCCAGGGACCAGAAACCAUGAAGUUAUUUGGAUGAUAGAUACAGAGAUACGCUGCUCAGAUGCCCCUUUCAAGAAAGAACUUGCUGCCUCUUGCUCAGUUUCUUCCUGGAGCUUUCAAGCAUCUUUGCAGGGAAGUCACAUCCUUCCCAGGGCAGCCCGACUGACCAAGGGAGAAGAAGUUUAACAGAGAUGAGGCAUCCUGGAAUAUCCAGGUGGCAACAUGGAGUAGGGCAAAUCAGAGAUGACUAUUUCUAGGCCAUGAAAAACCAGCAGGAUCCAUGAUGGCUGAGAAAUGACAAUAUUGGUGAAUUAAGUACAUCUCAGGGAGAAGCCUUAUUAAAUUAGCCUAAUACCUUA